CCUACGGGAGGCAGCAGUGAGGAAUAUUGGUCAAUGGACGCAAGUCUGAACCAGCCAUGCCGCGUGCAGGCAGAAGGCUCUAUGAGUUGUAAACUGCUUUUGUACGAGGGUAAACGCAGAUAUGCGUAUCUGUCUGAAAGUAUCGUACGAAUAAGGCUCGGCUCACUCCGUGCCAGCAGCGGCGGUAAUACGGAGGAAUCAAGCGUUAUCCGGGUUUAUUGGGUUUAAAGGGUCAGUAGGCGGUCGGAUAAGUUAGAGGUGAAAGCCCGAGGCUCAACUUCGGAAUUGCCUCUGAUACUGUUCGGCUAGAGAGUAGUUGCGGUAGGCGGAAUGUAUGGUGUAGCGGUGAAAUGCUUAGAUAUCAUACAGAACACCGAUUGCGAAGGCAGCUUACCAAGCUACUUCUGACGUUGAGGCACGAAAGCGUGGGGAGCAAACAGGAGUAGAUACCCGUGUAGUC
Molecule: ribosomal RNA, 460 nt
Filed under: uncultured bacterium
Lineage: Bacteria
Description: partial 16S ribosomal RNA
Rfam family: Bacterial small subunit ribosomal RNA
Source: RNAcentral